AUCAUUGUCGAACCUUGCUGGUAGGCUGAUUUGAACUUGUAGAUGAACAGAACAAUAGUGUUGGAUCUUGUUGCGAAGAUUCAGCCUCAUAAAAAAAAACCGGCACAAUUAGUGCCAAGGAUAUGGUAUUGAGCAUGUCGGCUUGCAAUGUUUUUUGGAGCACGUGCGGGAUGUGUGUUUAAUAGGAAUGACUCUUGGCAAUGGAUAUCUUGGCUCUUGCAUCGAUGAAGAACGUAGCGAAAUGCGAUACUUGGUGUGAAUUGCAGAAUCCCGUGAACCAUCGAAUCUUUGAACGCAAGUUGCGCCGGAAGCCAACCUGGUCGACGGCUCGUUUGCUUGGGAGUCAAAUGUUUCGUCAUUCCUAAUCCUUUUGGUGAGGGACUGGAUCAUGGCCUCCCAGGCUAAGGUUUUGGCGUGGUUGGUUGAAAUUCUUGUCCUUGGAGAUCAAUGAUUUCUCUGUAUGUGGUGGUUUGUGCCUAGUGUGCGAAGGACAUGCGGUGAAAGCGUCGGUUGCGCAAGUUAGACCCUCUGGGGGUGACAUAGUUUGCUCUGUGAUUGGGGCCCCAAGUCA
Molecule: ribosomal RNA, 571 nt
Filed under: Cuscuta coryli
Lineage: Eukaryota; Viridiplantae; Streptophyta; Magnoliopsida; Solanales; Convolvulaceae
Description: eukaryotic LSU rRNA
Rfam family: 5.8S ribosomal RNA (bases 190-346)
Source: RNAcentral